This 253-nucleotide ribosomal RNA is filed under the name uncultured bacterium. RNAcentral describes it as "partial 16S ribosomal RNA". It matches the Rfam family "Bacterial small subunit ribosomal RNA", at positions 524 to 776 of the family's 1533-position model. The record is from RNAcentral.
UACGUAGGGGGCAAGCGUUGUCCGGAAUCAUUGGGCGUAAAGCGCGUGUAGGCGGCUUCGUAAGUCCGUUGUGAAAGUCCAGGGCUCAACCCUGGAAUGCCGAUGGAUACUGCGGAGCUAGAGUCCGGAAGAGGCGAGUGGAAUUCCUGGUGUAGCGGUGAAAUGCGCAGAUAUCAGGAGGAACACCAAUGGCGAAGGCAGCUCGCUGGGACGGUACUGACGCUGAGACGCGAAAGCGUGGGGAGCGAACAGG